UGAUAUCAAUACCAUGAACUUGUCUCC
This 27-nucleotide non-coding RNA is filed under the name Rattus norvegicus (Norway rat). Lineage: Eukaryota; Metazoa; Chordata; Mammalia; Rodentia; Muridae. The record is from RNAcentral.